GGUGGCUCAGAAGUAGAGCACUUGCCUUGCAUGCAUGAGGCCCUGGGUUCGAUUCCUCAGCACCA
This 65-nucleotide transfer RNA is filed under the name Dipodomys ordii (Ord's kangaroo rat). It matches the Rfam family "tRNA". From Rfam's summary of the family: Transfer RNA (tRNA) molecules are approximately 80 nucleotides in length. Their secondary structure includes four short double-helical elements and three loops (D, anti-codon, and T loops). The record is from Rfam by way of RNAcentral. Lineage: Eukaryota; Metazoa; Chordata; Mammalia; Rodentia; Heteromyidae.